GAUAAGAUGACUGAAUUAUUUAGGUAAUAAAUUGUAAAUUUAUGUAUGGCGAUAGCCUCUUAUCA
Molecule: transfer RNA, 65 nt
Filed under: Neocentrocnemis stali
Lineage: Eukaryota; Metazoa; Arthropoda; Insecta; Hemiptera; Reduviidae
Description: tRNA-Tyr
Source: RNAcentral